RNAcentral lists this transfer RNA (67 nucleotides) under Marmota monax (woodchuck). RNAcentral's name for it is "tRNA.Ala". The record is from RNAcentral. Lineage: Eukaryota; Metazoa; Chordata; Mammalia; Rodentia; Sciuridae.
UGCAGCUCAGUGGUAGAGCAUUUGCUUAGCAUGCACGAGUCCCUGGGUUCAACCCUCAAUACUGUAA